RNAcentral lists this long non-coding RNA (228 nucleotides) under Arabidopsis lyrata. Its description in RNAcentral is "long non-coding RNA (ALYR_LNC000091)". The record is from RNAcentral. Lineage: Eukaryota; Viridiplantae; Streptophyta; Magnoliopsida; Brassicales; Brassicaceae.
GGGAUAAACUUGAAAUAACUUAAGAGAUAAGUUACUAAAAUGUAAAAGAGAUAAAGCUGAAUAUUCUAGGAGUUAUCUAGAAUAAAUGUAUUAGGAGUUAUCUAAUACAAGUCCUAAUUGAGUUAGGAUUAGGUCAAUAGCUUUUGUUAUAUAAGGAGGUAUCAAGGUGUGAUACAACUUAUGAGAUUGAGUUUUAGUUUGAGUAAUUUCUAAAGCUUAAUAAAAGAG